GGAUUUAGAAAGUACUAAUGAUAAUAUAAAACAAAAAAUACAAAAAACAGGUAACUCUUCAGCAUUAAACAUAAACAUGUCAGGAAAUGUAGUUGAUAAUUACGAAUUAAAUAACAAAUCAUUGGUACAUAGUUUAUUACAUUUAGUGGAAAAGACAAGAGAUAAACAUGUAUAUGGAUUAUAUAAAAAACAUGAAAAAAUGAGCGAACAUUCUGAUAUACACAAAAUGAGUAGUAAAAAUGUUUUAGAUAGAAAGGGUGACAAUUGGAACGAUAGUAAGAGUGAUAUAAGCAAAAAAGAACAUGUGACAAAAUAUGAUAUAACUAUAGAAGAUGCAACUGCAGAAAAAAUUACUUUAGAAAAAACAAAUAGUAAAGAAGCUUGUAGUAAUGACAUUAUUAGUAACAUAGCUAACUAUACAACACAACACAUGCUUACAGGUGUAAAAGAAGAAAAUAAAAACGAGUGCCCAAGUUUUAGUUCUAUAAAUAAAAAUGAUAGCAAUACCAAUAAAAAUGCUUUUGUAAAUAAUAACGAAAAUAAUAAUGACAGUUAUAAUAAUAGAAUAACAAAAAGGAAAAAAAAAAUUAGUCUUAGUAAAUUUCUUAUUAAAAAAUAUAUUGUUAAACUAAAAAUGAGUGAAAAACAAAAUUCAGAAAACAUAAAUGAAUUGAGUUUAAUAAAUAAACAAAAACACCCAUCAUGCACAACAAGAAAUAUAAUGCAGGGACAAAAAACAAAAGAAAAUGAAGCGACAUCAUUAAAAAGUGACAAAAAUAAGAAUUUGUUCGAACUGAGCAACAACAUAUUAUGUAACAAUCAAAUGAAGGAUAACCAAACGAGGAAUGACUCAAUAUAUGAAACUUAUGUAAAUAUAAAUAAUAAAACCGAUGAUAAAAAUAUACCAUGUUUUAAAUAUGUAAGAGAUUAUAAAUCUUCUGCUUUUGCAAUAAAUGAAAAUGAUUCACUAUCAUAUGUUUUAGGUGUUUCCAAAAAAAAAAAAUUAGCAUUUAUAUUUCCAACAAUAUCCAAGAAAAUUGUUUUUUCAAAAACUGGUCAGCAAAAAAGAAAAAACUAUUUGUAUUUAAAGGAGUAGUUAAAUUUUACAUGUUCCAUAAAUCAUAUUUACAAAAAAAAAGGGGUGGGAAGGGAGGUUACUAUAGAUAUUGUGGGUAAUUACUAUCACAUGCGUUGGUGCCAUAAAUAAAAUAUAAAAA
Molecule: long non-coding RNA, 1217 nt
Filed under: Piliocolobus tephrosceles (Ugandan red Colobus)
Lineage: Eukaryota; Metazoa; Chordata; Mammalia; Primates; Cercopithecidae
Description: lncRNA (ENSPTEG00000014921.1)
Source: RNAcentral